CAGGCCUGGGGCCAGUCCUGACUGGGGAGGGGGGGCUGAGUGUAUGGCAAGGCAUGCCCCCUCCCUCCUCUAGCCGUGGGGGGACAGGUAGUGACUGCGGGAUGGAGCUAAAACAGCCUAGAAGGACAGCAGGUCACCCAAAGAGAUUCAGGGAUGAAUCAACAUCCCCAGCAGCGCUACAGAGGAUGAAGCGGCAUGCAGCAUGUUCCAAGCCCUGGUCUCAAGCCUGCUCACUGGACCCGCUACUUCCAGCGUCCCCAUGCAGCCAGCCAAGAUGUCGAGCCACCCACCAGCUCAGUCACCCGACCUUUCCCACCUUCGGAUAGCAGAUCCCUAACCCCAGCCCAGCGUUCCUAGUCACGAAGGCAGCCACAUGCAGUAGGAGAGAACACUUUUGGAUCCAGACACCAUUUUUGAAUGGCCAAACCCUCGCGGGAUCCAAGAUGGUGGCCUAGACAUUAACUGGAGAGGACACCGCCGCAAGGCUUCUCGAAGCUUUACUUAAGGAAGGGGCUCGCCUGCUUGCCGGCCCAACUACAGCCCAGAACAAAGGGAAAGGAGGCAUGGCGGCAGGAUUAGGAGGCACUCGGGCAGCAGACAUCACUCCAGGCACUGCUCUGAAUCAUUUGGCAGCACAGGCUUCGCAGUGGGAUCACGGGAGCCCCCCCCCCAUGGGCAUCAGUACGGUGAGUACAAGAGGCCCAGAGACAGGGGUGGGCAGAGACCGCUAUUCACCUGGCCACAGGGGAUGCAGAAGGGGAGGAGCAAGGGAAAGCCCACCCCCACACCACUACAGGGCUAGUGCCAGCAUCCCCCACCAGUAUGCACUGUACACAUGACUGCUCCCAAACACCUGCCAAGGCCAGGGCCGGUAUUACAAAUUUACCGGCAAUGCUUUAAAAAAAAGCCCCUGGCCUGCCCCCAAUUCGCACAGAACUUACCUUUUUUCCAGCGCUGUGGACAUCGCUGUGAUGUUGCCCCGCCCCUUUUGUGGUACAGCGCAUCGCUCCGCCCUUUUUUGCAUCAUGGACCGCCCCUUUUGGUGCCCGCCUCCCACUAUUUUUCAGUAAAGGUGGCAACCGUACCCAGAAGCCCAAGACCACGCAGCCCGAGCGUAUCCCCCAGGCAGCAUAGGGUCCCCAGCAGCCUCUUUAGCAGGCCCUAUAGCAGAGCCAGGGGCAGGAGAAGGUCACCAGAGUGAGUUAGGCAAGAUAGGGUCAACGGCCCUCCAGUAUGCUUAUCUUAUUGCAGGUGAAGGAGAAAGCAAGACAAAGGGAGGAAUGGAAUCAACAGCACAGGCCAAGUGUAAACAGAGAUUGCAGAACUACAUCAGCAGGAUCAGAUGUGGACAGAGAUCAGAGAGAGCACAGAGGAGCCAGUUCAUCAGGGCAAAUGGGAUUACCUGAUUAACAAGGCAACAAUGGCAUCAUAGCCAGUCACAGCAGAAGCAGAGAGAGGAGUCAGCAGCUGAGAUGCAUGGUCAAAAGGAGGCAGGGAAUACAUCAAAGGAAACUGCAAAAAGGCGACCAUCCAUCCUGGAGCAAUCGAUUUCUCCUCCCUGGCAUUUCUAGUAACAGCAUGCGGCUUCUUCUCCUCCUUGAUUCGGGGCCCAGCAGAUUCUCGAUGAAGAAAGAAAACACCCUGGCUGUGGUGGUGUGCUGGCUUCCGUCGGUUCGCUGUGUCACCUUCUUUGUAAGGAAGGGUCGCUGUUGUGCAGGAGCAUGGCUGUCUGCUCAGGGGUAAAACUGGGGAGGAUGAUAGGGCCUUUUAAAGAACCCCCCAUUGAAGGUUUGAUUAUAUCCCCAUUAGGCGUGGUUCUAAGAAAGAUACAGGUAAAUUCAGGCUGAUACAGCAAUUAUCAUACCCAGAAGGUAAUUCAGUAAAUGAUGUAUAGUAUCUGUCAUUUGACCAGGCCCUGGAUGUAGUGAAAGCCAAAGAGUUAAAUGCCAAAAUGGCUAAACUGGACAUAGAGUCGGCUUUCCGGCUCCUCCCUUUAAACCCAGAAAGUUUUAAAUACAGUUUUUUUCCAAGGAGAUUAUUUUGUGGACAGGUGCCUUCCUAUGUGUUGUGCAGUUUCAUGUGCCUUCUUUGAGUGUUUCAGUUCGUUUAUACAUUGGUGUUUGGAGAGAAAGUCAGGGCAAAGGGACAUAGCCCAUUACGUGCAGGCCCGGAUUUGUGGAAAGGCCCCCUAGGCCCGGGCCUAGGGUGGCAGGAUUUUAGGGGGGCGGCAUGCUGC
Molecule: long non-coding RNA, 2236 nt
Organism: Xenopus laevis (African clawed frog)
Lineage: Eukaryota; Metazoa; Chordata; Amphibia; Anura; Pipidae
Exons: 3
Source: RefSeq, a predicted model, not a curated record